GUGGCCAUGUUUGAGAGGGGCACGUCCCUGAGUGUGUCCGUUCGCCGCGUUUGGGACGUAGGGCGGCCCUGUUUGAGGCGGGCACUUCCUUUGGCGCAUCUGUGGCCGCCAUGUUUGGGGGGGCGGGCGGCCACGUUUGAGAGGGUCACUGGCCUUGGUUCCUCUGUGUCCGUAGAGAGGACUGACGGCCGUGUUUAAGAGGGGUACUUUCUCGGGUCCUGAAUUAUCUGAACUUUACACUGUAAGUCUUCAGAAAGAGAUGAGGUGGCCUAGACACCCUUGGCCGGGCUGGAAGACAGGGCCCCAUUCUCUGUCCUGGUCUGGUGUUGGCUGCAAUCCAACUGCAUGGAGGCAGACUUCCUAUACAAGAGAAAUCCCCACUUUCCUUGAAGGGCAUUUGCCUGUGAAGGUCCCAGCGGCUGAUAUCCCUGCCUGGUUGUUUCCUAAGAAUCCAGAAGAUUCAGGUCAGUGCAU
Long non-coding RNA from Tupaia belangeri chinensis (Chinese tree shrew), 474 nucleotides. RefSeq lists it as uncharacterized. Lineage: Eukaryota; Metazoa; Chordata; Mammalia; Scandentia; Tupaiidae. The record is from RefSeq and is a predicted model, not a curated record. The transcript is spliced from 3 exons.